CUACGGGCGGCUCCAGUGAGGAAUAUUGCACAAUGGGGGGAACCCUGAUGCAGCAACGCCGCGUGGAGGGUGACGCAUUUCGGUGUGUAAACUCCUUUUAUAUGUCAAGAAAAUGACGGUAGCAUAUGAAUAAGCACCGGCUAACUCCGUGCCAGCAGCCGCGGUAAUACGGAGGGAGCAAACGUUGUUCGGAAUCACUGGGCGUAAAGGGCUCGUAGGCGGCUUCCUAAGUCAGUGGUGAAAACCUGUGGCUCAACCACAGGCCUGCCCCUGAAACUGGGAAGCUUGAGGCUGGGAGGGGAGAGGGGAAUUCCUGGUGUAUCGGUGAAAUGAGUUGAUAUCAGGAGGAACACCCGUGGCGAAGGCGCCUCUCUGGCACAGUACUGACGCUGAGGAGCGAAAGCGUGGGGAGCAAACAGGAUUAGAUACCCUUGUAGUC
RNAcentral lists this ribosomal RNA (439 nucleotides) under uncultured bacterium. RNAcentral's name for it is "partial 16S ribosomal RNA". It matches the Rfam family "Bacterial small subunit ribosomal RNA", at positions 339 to 795 of the family's 1533-position model. The record is from RNAcentral.